This 358-nucleotide transfer-messenger RNA is filed under the name Planctomycetaceae bacterium. It matches the Rfam family "transfer-messenger RNA". Rfam says of the family: Bacterial tmRNA, also known as 10Sa RNA or SsrA, is named for its dual tRNA and mRNA-like properties. Lineage: Bacteria; Pseudomonadati; Planctomycetota; Planctomycetia; Planctomycetales; Planctomycetaceae. RNAcentral also lists the same sequence under 2 other names. The record is from RNAcentral.
GGGGGCGAAUUGGAUUCGACCGGAUAGCCUGAAGCGCUGUUGGCGUGUCGUGGUUGGUCAGUUGGCCACGUUAAAAGCUGACCACACAGUAUCUGCAGAAGAUACCUACGCACUGGCUGCCUAAUUAGGCAACCCUGGCUGCGGGGGCCCGCCGGAAGCGCCCAAAAGCCAGUUGCAAAUCCGGAUCGCUAACCGUCAUGCUAGGCACGCGGGAAGCUAAAAAAAGUUCUUAGCUGGUUGGCCGAGUACCCCGUUGCCAGGGGACGAGGCUGACGAGACUUUAAAUUGGCAACUACACACGUAGAAGGCAUCGUGGAAAUAUCUCGGGACGGGGGUUCGAUUCCCCCCGCCUCCAUUG